Non-coding RNA from Vicugna pacos (alpaca), 162 nucleotides. NCBI's taxonomy places the organism in Eukaryota, Metazoa, Chordata, Mammalia, Artiodactyla, Camelidae. The record is from RefSeq and is a predicted model, not a curated record.
CAUCUUUUCAAAUUAGAGUUUUUUCCUGGUGUAUGCUCAGGAGUGGGGUUGCUGGAUCAUAUGGUAACUCUCUUUUUAGUUUUUAGGAACCUCCAUACUGUUCUCCAUAGGGGCUGUACCAGUUGACAUUCCCACCGACACUGCAAAAGGGUUCCCCUUUCU